UGUAUUCAAAUGCCGACAGGGGACGAAUGCUUUUGCUGCAGGGAGUGGGACUUAGUCAUCCCACAGAUGCAAGAGCUGGAGCUGGACACUAGCAUUCAGGAUCUCGAUGUGUCUGGGCAUAGCGCCCCCCGAGACAGGGCAAUCUGCAUUACGGAGCACCAGGACUUUCUACCCCUUCUAAAUCGAGGAGUGCUGGAAACAUUCUUCUCCUUUGAUAAAAUAAAUUGGAAAAGAAGACCCAGACCUGCUGGACCCAACGGCCAGUUGUCAAUGUUGCAGUACCGAUUGGUGGCUUACAGAAUCGUUCUUGAGUGGGGGUUGAAAGGAACACAGCUGGGAAGAGGAAACCGACGUGUUCUUCCAUCCUGUGUAGUGACCAGCAUCCGAAACAAAUACCCUUCGGCCGCUGGACAAUAUGUUGGAUUCAGGGAAGCACAAGAUGCUCUGAGAUUGUUUUGAACACAACACUACUGUAGUCUACUAGAAAACAUUUGCUACUUCAACAAAUCCUUUAUAUCAAACACAAAAAGAAGACAUACAUUUGGUUACAGAUGACAUUACGAUUGUUUACGGUAACAUUUUAACAACAAUGUACGCGUAUAUGGUUCAAUAAAUGUUUUGCUGUUGA
Gadus morhua (Atlantic cod) is the source of this 628-nucleotide long non-coding RNA. RefSeq lists it as uncharacterized. NCBI's taxonomy places the organism in Eukaryota, Metazoa, Chordata, Actinopteri, Gadiformes, Gadidae. The record is from RefSeq and is a predicted model, not a curated record. The transcript has 2 exons.